AGAGAAGGAAGCACAUCAGCAGAGCCAUAAGCUGUAUGUUUGUUACUCCUCCCAGCACCUCCACAUAAGGUCUGAGACUGGGGUCUCCCUUGUCCCUAACUGUGCCCUUCCUAAGUGCAAGGUGAGUUCCCAUAGAGAAGGGCUCCAUGCCCGUGUAGACUGAGCAAUAGAGGCCUGGACUGGACAGAUACCUCCCUCUCUGAAGCUUGGAACAGAAUCACAGCCAGCACAGGUAUAUAUUUUAAAGGCAUUUGUUGGUCUUCAGUAUUGGGUUCAGUAUGGCACAAAUCCUCUUCUCAAUUACCAUUUUCCUCUCUAU
Molecule: RNase P RNA, 319 nt
Filed under: Meriones unguiculatus (Mongolian gerbil)
Lineage: Eukaryota; Metazoa; Chordata; Mammalia; Rodentia; Muridae
Description: Nuclear RNase P (ENSMUGG00000022019.1)
Rfam family: Nuclear RNase P
About the family: Ribonuclease P (RNase P) is a ubiquitous endoribonuclease, found in archaea, bacteria and eukarya as well as chloroplasts and mitochondria. Its best characterised activity is the generation of mature 5'-ends of tRNAs by cleaving the 5'-leader elements of precursor-tRNAs. Cellular RNase Ps are ribonucleoproteins.
Source: RNAcentral